RNAcentral lists this long non-coding RNA (456 nucleotides) under Equus caballus (horse). RNAcentral describes it as "lncRNA (ENSECAG00000052366.1)". Lineage: Eukaryota; Metazoa; Chordata; Mammalia; Perissodactyla; Equidae. The record is from RNAcentral.
GAAUGUUUGGUAGAAUUCACCAGCGAAGCUGUCUGGUCUCAGACUCUUAUUUUUUGGGAGGUUUUUGAUUACCGUUUCUAUUUCCUUACUUGUGAUUGGUCUAUUCAGAUUCUCCAUUUCUUCCUGAUUCAGUUUGGGGAGAUUGUAGGAGUCUAGGAAUUUGUCCAUUUCUUCCAGGUUGUUCAAUUUGUUGGCAUAUAGUUUUUCAUAGUAUUCUCUUAUGAUCUCUUGUAUUUCAUUGGUAUCUGUUGUGAUUUCUCCUCUGUCAUUCCUAAUUUUAUUAAUUUGCGAUUUCUCUCUUCUUUUCUUGGUGAGUCUGGCUAGGGGUUUGUCAAUUUUGUUAAUUCUUUCGAAGAACCAACUCUUUGUUUCAUUGAUCCUUUCUAUUGUCUUUUUUGUUUCAAUAUCGUUUAUUUCUGCUCUUAUUUUUAUUAUUUCCCUCCUUCUACUGACUCU